UGACGAAGCGACGCCGCGUGCGGGAAGAAGGCCUUCGGGUUGUAAACCGCUGUCGGGAGUUAAGAAAUGCAAGGAUGUUAAUAGCGUUCUUGCUUGACUAAGGCUCCGGAGGAAGCCACGGCUAACUCUGUGCCAGCAGCCGCGGUAAUACAGAGGCGGCAAGCGUUGUUCGGAAUUAUUGGGCGUAAAGAGCACGUAGGCGGCUAUGUAAGUCGGUUGUGAAAGCCUUCCGCUCAACGGAAGAACAGCAUCCGAUACUGCAUGGCUUGAGUGCGGGAGGGGGGAGUGGAACUUCUGGUGGAGCGGUGAAAUGCGUAGAUAUCAGAAGGAACGCCGGCGGCGAAAGCGACUCUCUGGCCCGCAACUGACGCUGAGUGUGCGAAAGCUAGGGGAGCAAACGGGAUUAGAUACCCCGGUAGUCCUAGCCGUAAACGAU
This 436-nucleotide ribosomal RNA is filed under the name uncultured bacterium. RNAcentral describes it as "bacterial SSU rRNA". It matches the Rfam family "Bacterial small subunit ribosomal RNA", at positions 384 to 810 of the family's 1533-position model. The record is from RNAcentral.